GACAGCAUCUACCCAAAUUCAAUGGUAACUACUAUAAUGGUUACUUAUAAACUAUCAAUCAAUCAAUCAGUUCCUGAUAACUAAUCUUUUCUUGAGUUCGUUGCCCUCGGAUGAGGGUAACCUACUGUAUAGUGGGAAUAUUCCUGCUCAUUUACUUUCUUCUUUAGCAUAUCUUUUCCCAUGCCUAACUAAAUAAUAUUCUUCUGUCCCUCCCUCGAUCCCAUUCCUAACGGUUGAAGCUCAAAACCAGAUAAAAAAAGAUACUGGUGCAACCAUUGACUGAUAGUUUAUUGUUGCAAGUAAAACAACAAAGGAGAAGGGAGGAGCAUGCCAUCCCAACCCCCACGCAGUGCAGUGUGUGAUUAUACAACUAAGGAUACAUGUGCUGGAUAACCUCUGUGACCAAGACCAAAGGGAGAAUGGGACAGAAGCAGCUUUUUGAAGUGUUCAUGAUGUGGAAUUUUUAUAUAUUUUUUUUAUUUAAAGGUUUACAAUUGAUAUUAUCAGGAUCUAAUGCUUUUACAACACAUCAAGUGGGUGCUUAGUCUGUCUCCUUAAUACUGGCCCUGAAACAAUCUCCAUUCAGGGGGAAUGAGUCACCUUGGUCUCAAAGGUAUGUGAAAAUAUUCUCAUAUAAACCAUAGCCAGCCAAACUGGAUUAAAAAAAAAAUAUUUACACAGCUGAACGUGAAGAAGUCAAUCACAAUGGCACAGAAAAUAUAUAAAUAAUGUUUCAUGAAGUGUGUAAUCAAUCACAGAGUCUCUCCUGAAUAAAACCUAGUAUUUCCAGCUCUCCAAAGAAAAUGAGGUGAAAACAUUUAAUAUGUAGUCAUAGUCAUAACUGCUUGGGAUAAACUUGAUUGCCAAUAAGUUCAUAAUAAUAUUUUUUUAUAAGACUUUGGAAAACCUGCACAGUAUAUAUAGAUCAUUACUUUGUUUCAAGAAAAUUCCACUUCAUUCACACAAUUUUUUCAAAUGUUACAAGGCUGUAGGCAGCAAAAAAAAAAUUAUAAGCCCAAAAUUGUGAAUCAUAUAGAUAUUGUUUAUGCUAUGGCCUGAAAAUAUAUUGAUUUUAUGAUAUAUCCAAAUAAAAAAAAAUCAUAAAUAUUAUUUCUUCUAUGAAUUAUUUACAUGUAAAACCAGGCAGAUCUAACCCCAGCAUUUACUUUUGUAUUUUAUGAAUCUCAAUGACUAGCUUAGUUUUACAAAAAAGUUGUGUAUGCUCUUGCACAGUACUGGAACCAAAGAAAAUUCCACCAUUAAUGAGCCAUUAGAGGAAGUAAAAAAUGUAUUAAGA
This is a long non-coding RNA of Eriocheir sinensis (Chinese mitten crab), 1297 nucleotides long. RefSeq lists it as uncharacterized. The transcript has 2 exons. The record is from RefSeq and is a predicted model, not a curated record. NCBI's taxonomy places the organism in Eukaryota, Metazoa, Arthropoda, Malacostraca, Decapoda, Varunidae.